CCCGCCCAAUUGGGGCUGGACACACUGCUGAAGCGGGCAGCUAGUGAAGAAAUCCCCUUCUUCCCCCUGGUCAUGUACCUGAUGCAGGUGCUGUGUUCAACCCGUCUUCAAGAGGAAACCAACCACCACCCACCCACACACACCCACACACACUUCUUGGCGGGAUGAGACCGGGCCAGAGAAGGGAGCACUGGCCACUGGCUGCUGCCCCCUCAGAAGUCUCCGGGCUGACUGCUGGAUUUUGGUUGUAACCUACACCUGGCUGCCUGCCCAACAGGCUUGGAGACCCACUGCUCCGCCUGUGUACCCAGAGAACACCUCCGCCUUGACAGUAUGGUCUCAACACAAAACAGCCAGUGUUACUUAUGGACUGGUAUUUAUGAUGAUUCCAUGAGGCACCCAAGAAACCAGCUCCACCUCUCCCGGUUACCAAGAGGAAUUGUGAAUUGCUUUUUGGCUCCAGAGGCUGGUCUCCGGGAAGGUGUCGGGGUGUAAGUGUGUGAUCUGAUCCCUCCCUAAAGACUCCACUAGAACUAGUCAAACAAUUUCCAUCCAAGAGUCCAAGAGUUGUUGACAGAAAAUGGUUAUUUUGUUGAUGUGGAAACUUCCAGGGGAAAUGUCCUGUUUUUGUCAAUAA
Chrysemys picta bellii (western painted turtle) is the source of this 637-nucleotide long non-coding RNA. RefSeq lists it as uncharacterized. The record is from RefSeq and is a predicted model, not a curated record. Lineage: Eukaryota; Metazoa; Chordata; Testudines; Emydidae.